UAGGGAAUCUUCCGCAAUGGGCGAAAGCCUGACGGAGCAACGCCGCGUGAGUGAUGAAGGUCUUCGGAUUGUAAAACUCUGUUAUUAGGGAAGAACAUAUGUGUAAGUAACUAUGCACGUCUUGACGGUUCCUAAUCAGAAAGCCACGGCCAACUACGUUCCAGCAGCCGCGGUAAUACGUAGGUGGCAAGCGUUGACCGGAAUUAUUGGGCGUAAAGCGCGCGUAGGCGGUUUUUUAAGUCAGAUGUGAAAGACCACGGCUCAACCGUGGAGGGUCAUUGGAAACUGGAAAACUUGAGUGCAGAAGAGGAGAGUGGAAUUCCAUGUGUAGCGGUGAAAUGCGCAGAGAUAUGGAGGAACACCAGUGGCGAAGGCGACUUUCUGGUCUGUAACUGACGCUGAUGUGCGAAAGCGUGGGGAUCAAACAGG
This 429-nucleotide ribosomal RNA is filed under the name Actinomycetes bacterium. RNAcentral's name for it is "Actinobacteria bacterium partial 16S ribosomal RNA". It matches the Rfam family "Bacterial small subunit ribosomal RNA", at positions 355 to 776 of the family's 1533-position model. The record is from RNAcentral. Lineage: Bacteria; Bacillati; Actinomycetota; Actinomycetes.